RNAcentral lists this ribosomal RNA (497 nucleotides) under uncultured bacterium. RNAcentral describes it as "partial 16S ribosomal RNA". It matches the Rfam family "Bacterial small subunit ribosomal RNA", at positions 28 to 507 of the family's 1533-position model. The record is from RNAcentral.
GAUGAACGCUGGCGGCGUGCCUAAUACAUGCAAGUCGAGCGAACAGACGAGGAGCUUGCUCCUCUGACGUUAGCGGCGGACGGGUGAGUAACACGUGGAUAACCUACCUAUAAGACUGGGAUAACUUCGGGAAACCGGAGCUAAUACCGGAUAAUAUAUUGAACCGCAUGGUUCAAUAGUGAAAGACGGUUUUGCUGUCACUUAUAGAUGGAUCCGCGCCGCAUUAGCUAGUUGGUAAGGUAACGGCUUACCCAGGCAACGAUGCGUAGCCGACCUGAGAGGGCGAUCGGCCACACUGGAACUGAGACACGGUCCAGACUCCUACGGGAGGCAGCAGUAGGGAAUCUUCCGCAAUGGGCGAAAGCCUGACGGAGCAACGCCGCGUGAGUGAUGAAGGUCUUCGGAUCGUAAAACUCUGUUAUUAGGGAAGAACAAAUGUGUAAGUAACUAUGCACGUCUUGACGGUACCUAAUCAGAAAGCCACGGCUAACUACGUG